UCUGUCUUCUCAGGAGGCAACGAAGCGCACGCACCAAAUGGCCCACAAGAAAUCCAUUGCGCUGGUAGCUGCUCUAUACGCUAUGCAUAUAAUAUCUGGCAUAUGCGAAGAUUCAAAUGGAUCAUCGACUUCAUCUGAUUAUUACGAUGAUGGAAAUUCAAAUGGAUCAUCGAAUUCAUCUGAAUAUUACGAUGAUGGAAUUGAACCAGUGACAUGCCAUUACACAAAUUCCACGGCUGGU
Molecule: long non-coding RNA, 241 nt
Organism: Dermacentor silvarum
Lineage: Eukaryota; Metazoa; Arthropoda; Arachnida; Ixodida; Ixodidae
Exons: 5
Source: RefSeq, a predicted model, not a curated record